UACUCUUUGUUUUCCUCUAAUUCAGAUCUGGCCUUUAUAAGAGACCUGCAGCUUCUUUCUCAGAGGGUGGAGUUUCUCACUGUACAUGGACCAUUAAUCCUCAAUGCUCAGGGGGCUGGAUUUUAGGAGAGGAGUAAUCCAUUUCUCUUUUUAAUACAAUUCCCUUUGUAGGAAAAAUAAAUAAAGAAUAAACCAGGACUGUGUUGAUACUCCAACAUUGCUUCAGGCUGUAACUAAGAAGCUAACCUCAAUUUAAUUCCUGCUGCUUAUAUGUUUCAUAGGUAGAUGUACCAGGUCCUGUAAGUGUCUGCUGAGUUAAUAUUAGGUGGCGGCGGGAGCGGGGUGGGGGUGGGGAGAAAGACAUAGGCAUUUAACAUGGCAAUCUCCCUGGCUCAAGAAAAUGACUUGAUUGUACACGUUUGGGUUUCUGAAGAGCGGUAAUGAACUAGAAGACAAUUAUUGCACACAUUAUCUCAUUUCAUUUCUCAUUUACCCAGUAAAAUUGGCUUUAAAACACCAGUCCUGAAGGCUGUGUGUCGAAUUUGCUUUGAAGAGCAAUCUAGCGAGAACUCGCCAAGACGCUUUUCAUAUCUCCCCAACCACAAUAUUGUCCCUUAUUAAUCUGGUGUAACCGUAGCUGGGGGGGGGCGGCGGGCGGGGGGCAAUUGAGUGGAUUCAAAGCCAUAGGAGAGCAGCUGUUUUAAUAUUAGUUCUUUGUGAGCGUUUAGGAGGAGGGAAAAUGGGCACAGUCUGGCAUGACUUUGGAAUUGGGCCACUCCCCCUUCUGUUCGUGGAGUCCCCUCAUGCAUAAGUUCUCUUAGAUCACCAGCUCACAUUGUCAGAAUCAGAGCAGCUGUUUAUUUUGAUUUUAUCAACUUCCGAAGUUGGCUCGUGGCACAAGUAAAAACUAAAAAUGGGGAAAAGCAAGAUUCCCUCUCCGGAAGAUGACUGAAGUUAUGACCACCAAAGUUUCAUUUUCUCCAUUGUCUGAAAACUAUUUGUAUUUUCCCCUCCUUUACCGAGUGAAGAUUAGGAAAUUAGUUUUAAUUAUUACUUAUGAGGCACCAUAUGGCUACUCUAUAAUUUUGGCUUCCCAUGGAGCCUUGUGUGAGUAUGGAAAAUGAAAUUAAUUAGGAUUCACACUUUGAAAUCUAUUAUUAACUUAAUAAAGCUGGCAGCUUGUAGGGUGCCUUCGUACACUGUGUGAUGUAAUUGUUUAUGAUAACAAGCCACUAUUUAUAAAGCCGCAUAGGAAAUCUGACACACAUGGGGAGUAAAGGUCAAGAAAGAGAGUCUACAAGGUAGAUAUCAUUUCUAUCCAAAGUAGUGCUUUGCAAUUAACUCUGCACACAUCACACACA
Podarcis muralis (Common wall lizard) is the source of this 1361-nucleotide non-coding RNA. The record is from RefSeq and is a predicted model, not a curated record. Lineage: Eukaryota; Metazoa; Chordata; Lepidosauria; Squamata; Lacertidae.